RNAcentral lists this non-coding RNA (106 nucleotides) under Thermanaerovibrio acidaminovorans. Its description in RNAcentral is "TPP sequence". It matches the Rfam family "TPP riboswitch aptamer (THI element)". Rfam says of the family: Vitamin B(1) in its active form thiamin pyrophosphate (TPP) is an essential coenzyme that is synthesised by coupling of pyrimidine and thiazole moieties in bacteria. The previously detected thiamin-regulatory element, thi box was extended, resulting in a new, highly conserved RNA secondary structure, the THI element, which is widely distributed in eubacteria and also occurs in some archaea. Analysis of operon structures identified a large number of new candidate thiamin-regulated genes, mostly transporters, in various prokaryotic organisms. The record is from RNAcentral. RNAcentral also lists the same sequence under 1 other name. Lineage: Bacteria; Thermotogati; Synergistota; Synergistia; Synergistales; Synergistaceae.
AUGCGUUUCCGGGGGAGCCCCACGGGGGGCUGAGAGGAAGGGUGGCCUUCGACCCCAAGUACCUGAUCCGGGUAAUGCCGGCGUAGGGAGGGAAGCGGCGGGCGCG